Non-coding RNA from Prunus mume (Japanese apricot), 143 nucleotides. NCBI's taxonomy places the organism in Eukaryota, Viridiplantae, Streptophyta, Magnoliopsida, Rosales, Rosaceae. The record is from RefSeq and is a predicted model, not a curated record.
CUUAACAAUUGGAUUAAGAGUGUCUUAAUUCAACUCUAUGCUCGCAGAGGAGAUGCUGUACUUGAUCUUGCGUGUGGCAAGGGGGGUGAUCUCAUCAAAUGGGGCAAGGCCAAAAUUGGAUAUUAUGUUGGCAUCGAUAUCGC